RNAcentral lists this long non-coding RNA (1200 nucleotides) under Sus scrofa (pig). Its description in RNAcentral is "lncRNA (ENSSSCG00000061559.1, ENSSSCG00130022162.1)". Lineage: Eukaryota; Metazoa; Chordata; Mammalia; Artiodactyla; Suidae. The record is from RNAcentral.
CAGUAGAAAAAUGUCUUAUAACAACUUGGAGGCCAACAUUGAAAGCAUGGUUUGUACACAUUUUUGGAAGGACACAAAGUGAAUACAACCAAAUAUAUUAAAAUGGUUUCAAUUACCAGCAUUGAAACAAAAUUAGUGCAAAAAAAGCCAAAUACAAUUGCACAGAUAGUGGCUCUUAAGUCUUGAAAGAAAGCAAACGUGACUCUCGGUCCUUCCCAUUCAGGUGAAACUUUUAACAUUGCCCUCCAAGACCUGCCCUUAGGAAAGCUGAUAAACCUCUUGUCUCAAUCCAUUCCACAUCUCGUGUGAUACUGUCUCUAACAUAAUGUCAGCAGAGCUUCCUUUCAGUAUAAAUAUAUUACGCUUACAAAAAGAACAUGAACCCUAGCUAGCACUGGAAACUUUUCUACAAAGGAAAGACAAAGAGGAUGCUUUCAGAUUUCUUCAGCAACCUUUAAUUCUCGAAAAGAUGAAAUGUUCUCCCAUGUUUUAAGGACAACUUAUUUUGAACCUAGAAAUCAAAACUAAAUCCAACUGUCAACAAAAUUAUAAAGAAGGCGAUUUCAGACAUGUAAGAAAUAAGGACGUUUUACUAGUAAAAUGUCCUUCAGGAUAGAAUCCAUUCAAACAAAAAGGGAAUCUAAGAAAGAAGAAACUUGAGGCAUCCAAGAAACACGCAUGCAUGUGUGUCUAUGUGCUCAUGCAUAUGUGUGCUCACGCAUAUCAGAGUGAUGACUAAGUGGGAGGGGAGUGAGCAACGAUGGAUCCAAACCAAGACUGAAGCACAGAGAUGUGAGGAAAACAUUUUCGGAGAAAAAAAAUAUGGAUUCCCCUGAGCAGAGAGACAACACCAUCAAAAAGAGGUGGCAGACGCUAUUGUUUGUUAAGAAUAUGUCUUCUGUUAAGAAGAAAUUUUUAAACUGUUAUUUGGAAAAUCAAGGAAACAAAGCCCUUUGCAAAAAAGCAUUGCCUAAACACGGAGAAAGCUAAGAGGUGGAGUGAUACCAAAUCGCUGAGGACUAUAGAAAACAUAAAUAAUUUUACUUUGCUCUUGCAACUUCACAGUUGAGCAGAAUUUAAUGGCAUGAAACUAUAUUCCUUUAUCAUAGAACUAAAUCAUACAACUUGGUUCGAGAAUGAAUAUUGUUUCAUCAUUUUAAUAUUCUAAGGAUUAUUAUUAUUUUUAAAAGUUCUAUGAUC